UACGUAGGUGGCAAGCGUUGUCCGGAAUUAUUGGGCGUAAAGCGCGCGCAGGCGGUCCCUUAAGUCUGAUGUGAAAGCCCCCGGCUUAACCGGGGAGGGUCAUUGGAAACUGGGGGACUUGAGUGCAGAAGAGAAGAGCGGAAUUCCACGUGUAGCGGUGAAAUGCGUAGAGAUGUGGAGGAACACCAGUGGCGAAGGCGGCUCUUUGGUCUGUAACUGACGCUGAGGCGCGAAAGCGUGGGGAGCAAACAGGAUUAGAUAC
RNAcentral lists this ribosomal RNA (262 nucleotides) under uncultured bacterium. RNAcentral's name for it is "partial 16S ribosomal RNA". It matches the Rfam family "Bacterial small subunit ribosomal RNA", at positions 524 to 785 of the family's 1533-position model. The record is from RNAcentral.